CAGUAAUUCACACAGUCUCAUCUCUCACUGCUGGAACUACAUACACAUUCACUCUCUUCUCUGUGAUUGAGAAUUUCAGAAGCAGUGGAUUACAACUUACAGCAGUUACUGCUCCUCGAAACACAGCUAGCUUCAGAUCAAUAGGGCAAAAUGAGACUAGUAUCACUCUGCAGUGGAAUAAAGUCAACAACAAUGUCAGCUUUAUUCUCCAGUUUAAUGGUACAGAGACAAACAUCAUGGCACCAACUGGAGAUGGACCAGUAAAUCACACAGUCUCAUCUCUCACUGCUGGAACUACAUACACAUUCACUCUCUUCUCUGUGUUUGAGAACAUCAGAAGCAGUGGAUUACAACUUAAAGCAGUCACUGCUCCUCAAAACACAGAUAGCUUCAGA
Mugil cephalus (flathead mullet) is the source of this 395-nucleotide long non-coding RNA. RefSeq lists it as uncharacterized. The transcript is spliced from 3 exons. NCBI's taxonomy places the organism in Eukaryota, Metazoa, Chordata, Actinopteri, Mugiliformes, Mugilidae. The record is from RefSeq and is a predicted model, not a curated record.